CUACGGAGGGUGCAAGCGUUACUCGGAAUCACUGGGCGUAAAGCGCGCGCAGGCGGCUUGGUAAGUUGGAUGUGAAAGCCUACGGCUCAACCGUAGAACUGCAUCCAAAACUGUCAAGCUAGAGUGUGGGAGAGGAAGAUGGAAUUAGUUGUGUAGGGGUAAAAUCCGUAGAGAUAACUAGGAAUACCAAAAGCGAAGGCAAUCUUCUGGAACACUACUGACGCUGAGGCGCGAAAGCGUGGGGAGCAAACAGGAUUAGAAACCCUAGUAGUCC
RNAcentral lists this ribosomal RNA (274 nucleotides) under uncultured bacterium. RNAcentral describes it as "partial 16S ribosomal RNA". It matches the Rfam family "Bacterial small subunit ribosomal RNA", at positions 523 to 796 of the family's 1533-position model. The record is from RNAcentral.